CCUACGGGAGGCAGCAGUGGGGAAUAUUGCACAAUGGGGGAGACACUGAUGCAGCCACGCCGCGUGAGUGAGGAAGUAUCUCGGUAUGUAAAGCUCUAUCAGCAGGGGAGAAAAGAACGGUACGUGUCUAAGAAUCACCGGCUAACUACGUGCCAGCAGCCGUGGUAAUACGGAGGGGGCGAGCGUUAUCCGGAUUUACUGGGUGUAAGGGGAGCGUAGGCGGUGAUGCAAGUCAGAAGUGAAAGCCCGGGGCUCAACUCCGGGACUGCUGUUGAAACUGUGUAUCUGGAGUGCAGGAGAGGUAAGCGGAAUGCCUGGUGUAGCGGUGAAAUGCGUAGAUAUCAGGAGGAACACCAGUGGCGAAGGCAGCUUACUGGACUGUAACUGACGUUGAGGCUCGAAAGCGUGGGGAGCAAACAGGAUUAGAUACCCCAGUAGUC
Molecule: ribosomal RNA, 440 nt
Filed under: uncultured bacterium
Lineage: Bacteria
Description: partial 16S ribosomal RNA
Rfam family: Bacterial small subunit ribosomal RNA
Source: RNAcentral